GGUCCUAGCGCACGCCGGUUUCGCGCACUGCGCGGCUAGGGGAGCGCCCCGCCCCGGCCCGGAAACCGCCGGGAGGGGGACCCCGGAGCCCACCGCCUUGGGUUCUCAGUCAGUGCAGCAGCGGCCACGUGCCUCGCCCAUUCCGCAUCCCUGCUGGAUUUGGAAGCAGGAUAAGUUAAUAAGAGGUCCACCAAAGGGCCUGGCAUGGACACAGCACAAGGUCACAGAGGCUGGUGGGUGCUAUGGAAUCUUGUCCGCUGGAGAGGCACACAGCCAGGGCAGAACGUCAGGGUCAAGGCUCUGCUGUUCUGAAGGCUCUACAGUGCUUAGUGACACCACCGUCAAUGACCGUCAGGUAUCAGGAAAUCAUUUGGCACCUCCUCUGGAACAUGGGCGUGGCCGGGCACUUGAGAUCUGGCUGUUCAGACAGAGGCAGUGUACAUAACCCACAUCGUGAG
Long non-coding RNA from Cebus imitator (Panamanian white-faced capuchin), 458 nucleotides. RefSeq lists it as uncharacterized. Lineage: Eukaryota; Metazoa; Chordata; Mammalia; Primates; Cebidae. The record is from RefSeq and is a predicted model, not a curated record. The transcript has 3 exons.